AUGCACAUUCCACUAAAAGAAAUAAUUUUGAAUGGACUACAUUAUUUAAUCGAGAUUGUUGACCAUAUGAAAGAAAAGAAAAUAGAUACAUAUAACAAAUACAAAAAUAUUAUUGUUAAUUGUAUUUUAUUAUUAGAAAGGCACAAUUUAAUAACAUAUAAAGAUGCAACUACAUAUAUUGAUUGUAAAAAUUUUGAUAAAUUAAACAUAUAUAACAAAGAAUUAAAUAAAUUAGUAACUAAAUUAAAAACAAAAAAUAUUUAUAGUUUAACUGUUUUUAAUUUAAUUAAAGAAAAUAUUAACGGUUAUUCAAAGAUUAUUUUUCUUUUAGAAAAUUUUUUAAAUUCAAGUAAUCAUACAACUAAAAAUAGUACAAACGAAAGUAAUAUCCAAAUAAAUGGCUCUAAAAAAGGUAAAUCUAUCUCCUCUUCCAUUCCAAAAAAAAAAAAAAUUUACAUACAUACAUCUCAAAGCUAUAUUAUAAAUAUAAAAAUAAAAAGAAGAAUGACAAUACUAACAGUACGGAUAACGAAAAAAGAGACAAACAAAAAAAAAAAAAAAAAAAAUUACACAGACAGCAGUUGUAAUAAAACAAUACAAAAUAAUGAUUAUCAUACAUUUAUUUAUAAAAAUCAAAAAAAAAACGACUAUACCAAACAGAUAAAAAAAAAAUGGAACAGACAUUUUAAUUGUUAUUAUUGUAAUGAUUUAAUUAAACUAAAAAAUCAAAUUUUUAUUAUUGCUGGUUUACAUAAUUUAUGUCCUAGAAGAAUAUUAUCAUUAUUAUUAUUUUAUUAUGAACGAAAUGUAGAUAAUGAAAGACAACUACUUCCUUUGUUUUUUUUGUUUUCGAAAGAGAUGAUAACUGAUAUAAUAAUUUUGGAAUUAAAAAUCAAAAAUAAUUGUAUAAAAGAAAAUGAGAAAAAUGAUUUGAACAAGUUACAAUAUAUGUAUACAGCAACUGUUAGGGAAAAACGGAUGAACACAGUGGAUACUGUGUAUAAUGAUACUAUUACUCAUAGUAAUAAUACAGUAAAUAAUAAUACCACUACAAGUAACAUUGAUCAUACUAGUAACAACAUCAGCAGCAUUAGCAACAGCAGAAAUAACAACAGUAGUGAUAACAGAAAUGACAACAGUAGUGACAACAGAAAUGAUAAAAGUAUUGAAAAUAACGGCGGAAAUAACAGCGGAAAUAAUGGCGUAAAUAACGGCGUAAAUAACAGCGUAAAUAACGGUGGAAACAACAGUGGAAACAACAGUGGAAACAAUAGUGGAAACAACAGUGGAAACAACAGUGAAAACAGUAUUGACACGUUGCUCUUUUCAAACCCAAAUCAAUUUUUUUCACCUGACUAUUUCAAAAUGUGUUCUAUUUUAAUAAUAAACGGUUUACUUAAUUUGAAAGUUUUUUAUUCGAAUAUAUUGCCACAUGAUGAUUUAUUAUUUAAUACCUUUCGAGAGUUAUACACAAAAUUUGUUUCUGAUUAUGAUAAUAUAUAUUCUGACCAAAUCAAUCCUUUUUUUAUUAUUACAUGCCUCAAGAUAUUAAUCAAAUGUAUAAUUUAUAUAUUAAAAUGA
RNAcentral lists this long non-coding RNA (1581 nucleotides) under Piliocolobus tephrosceles (Ugandan red Colobus). Its description in RNAcentral is "lncRNA (ENSPTEG00000013264.1)". Lineage: Eukaryota; Metazoa; Chordata; Mammalia; Primates; Cercopithecidae. The record is from RNAcentral.